Molecule: unclassified non-coding RNA, 387 nt
Filed under: soil metagenome
Description: partial contains 5.8S ribosomal RNA, internal transcribed spacer 2, and large subunit ribosomal RNA
Rfam family: 5.8S ribosomal RNA (bases 1-120)
Source: RNAcentral
GAUGAAGAACGCAGCGAAAUGCGAUAAGUAAUGUGAAUUGCAGAAUUCAGUGAAUCAUCGAAUCUUUGAACGCACCUUGCACCCUUUGGUAUUCCGAAGGGUAUGCUCGUUUGAGUGUCAUUGUACUCUCACACUUCUAAUUCCUUUCGGGAUUGGGAGCGGUGGACUUGGGUGUUGCUGCUUUAGUUGUGGCUCACCUCAAAUAAGUUAGUGCAACUCUUGGUUGGACAUAGUACGGCGUGAUAAGUGUCUUCGCCGGCGCCUCUGUAAGGAGGGUGGCCGAUCGGGAGCUCUGUGCUUCAAACCGUCUUCGGACAAUCUUUGACAACUUGAACUCAAAUCGAGUAGGACUACCCGCUGAACUUAAGCAUAUCAAUAAGCGGAGGA